GACGAACGCUGGCGGCGUGCCUAAUACAUGCAAGUUGAGCGCUGAAGGUUGGUACUUGUACCAACUGGAUGAGCAGCGAACGGGUGAGUAACGCGUGGGGAAUCUGCCUUUGAGCGGGGGACAACAUUUGGAAACGAAUGCUAAUACCGCAUAAAAACUUUAAACACAAGUUUUAAGUUUGAAAGAUGCAAUUGCAUCACUCAAAGAUGAUCCCGCGUUGUAUUAGCUAGUUGGUGAGGUAAAGGCUCACCAAGGCGAUGAUACAUAGCCGACCUGAGGGGGUGAUCGGCCACAUUGGGACUGAGACACGGCCCAAACUCCUACGGGAGGCAGCAGUAGGGAAUCUUCGGCAAUAGACGAAAGUCUGACCGAGCAACGCCGCGUGAGUGAAGAAGGUUUUCGGAUCGUAAAACUCUGUUGGUAGAGAAGAACGUUGGUGAGAGUGGAAAGCUCAUCAAGUGACGGUAACUACCCAGAAAGGGACGGCUAACUACGUG
RNAcentral lists this ribosomal RNA (497 nucleotides) under uncultured bacterium. Its description in RNAcentral is "partial 16S ribosomal RNA". It matches the Rfam family "Bacterial small subunit ribosomal RNA", at positions 28 to 507 of the family's 1533-position model. The record is from RNAcentral.